Molecule: ribosomal RNA, 253 nt
Filed under: uncultured bacterium
Lineage: Bacteria
Description: partial 16S ribosomal RNA
Rfam family: Bacterial small subunit ribosomal RNA
Source: RNAcentral
UACGGAGGGUGCAAGCGUUAAUCGGAAUUACUGGGCGUAAAGGGUGCGUAGGCGGUCGAGUAAGUUAUCUGUGAAAUCCCCGGGCUUAACCUGGGUAGGAAAGAUAAGACUGCUUGACUGGAGUGUGGUAGAGGAUAGUGGAAUUUCAGGUGUAGCGGUGAAAUGCGUAGAUAUCUGAAGGAACACCAGUGGCGAAGGCGGCUAUCUGGACCAACACUGACGCUGAGGCACGAAAGCGUGGGGAGCAAACAGG